Molecule: ribosomal RNA, 497 nt
Filed under: uncultured bacterium
Lineage: Bacteria
Description: partial 16S ribosomal RNA
Rfam family: Bacterial small subunit ribosomal RNA
Source: RNAcentral
GAUGAACGCUGGCGGCGUGCCUAAUACAUGCAAGUCGAGCGAACAGAUGAGGAGCUUGCUCCUCUGACGUUAGCGGCGGACGGGUGAGUAACACGUGGAUAACCUACCUAUAAGACUGGGAUAACUUCGGGAAACCGGAGCUAAUACCGGAUAAUAUAUUGAACCGCAUGGUUCAAUAGUGAAAGACGGUUUUGCUGUCACUUAUAGAUGGAUCCGCGCCGCAUUAGCUAGUUGGUAAGGUAACGGCUUACCAAGGCAACGAUGCGUAGCCGACGUGAGAGGGUGAUAGGCCACACUGGAACUGAGACACGGUCCAGACUCCUACGGGAGGCAGCAGUAGGGAAUCUUCCGCAAUGGGCGAAGGCCUGACGGAGCAACGCCGCGUGAGUGAUGAAGGUCUUCGGAUCGUAAAACUCUGUUAGUAGGGAAGAACAAAUGUGUAAGUAACUAUGCACGUCUUGACGGUACCUAAUCAGAAAGCCACGGCUAACUACGUG